AUGUUCUCAGGAUUUUUGUAUGGGUUUUCAAACGAGAGGACAUUUUCUGUCAUGGUUCUGUGUCUUGUUGUGUCUUAUGUUUUGAUUUCCAGGUCCUCUUGUGUCCUUUCAGUGUCUCCUGUGUUCUUCCCUCUGUUUUCCCCUUCCCUCUGGUUGCAUGUACUGCAUGUCUGGUUGCAUGUCUCCCUCUGUCUGUCAGUGUGCCCGCCACACUCCACUCUCGCCUGCUGCUCCACCUCACCUGUUCCUAGUCUUGUCGUUAGUGUCUGUGUUUAUAGUCCUUGUCUUCCCUAUUGUGUUUGUCAGUUUGUUGUGUGUAUUUGUGUAAUGUUCCCCUGGAAGUUUCCUGUGUCGCCUCUUGUGUCUCUGGUCUUCGUGGCUACAAACUCUACAGAGUCUUCAACAUAUCCAGAUUUUGCCUGCAAAGACAAAAACGAGGACAUCACACUGGAGGAAAGAAAAGUCAUCGCUGAACUUAGAACCCGCUCCUUGCUCCAGACCAGACAGCCCGACACUUCAACGCACACAGCAAUAGGAGCAUCAGGAGAAACAGCAGGAGGAACCGGUGGAACAGCAGGAGCAACCGGAGGAACAACAAGAGCAACUGGAGGAACAGAAGAAACAACAGGAGGAAGAGUCAGUAAUUAGUAAUCUCACCAUAAUAUCUGUUCAGGUGACCGUCAGUCUCUUUAUCAGCAGUUUCCUUCAUGUUUAGAAGAACUGUGUGAAGUAGGUGAUGUGUUGAGAAGCAGUUUAAUUUAGAAUUCACUUUUGAUUAAAAAAAAAAAAACAUUUGUUAGAUGUUGGGUAGCGACAGAACACAAGGGAAAACCAACAGCUUCUGCAUUUUUUUAUAUAAUCUAGAUUAUUUUUUAUUUGUGAAAACUAAAUGUUGAUUCACUGUUUGAAACGGUUGGCAGGGGAUUAGAAUUUCAACUUCACAAUGUAAAUAUAGAGGUCAAUAGACAUCAAUCUGUGUGUGUGUCUGUCGUUUUCAUCAGGGGGAGGAACAGCAGGAGGAACAGCAGGACAAGCAAUGUGAGGAGCAGGAGGAACAGCAGCAGGAGCAGGGGGAACAGCCGAAGGAACAGCAGAGGGAGGAGCAGGAGGAUGAGCAGGAGGGACAGGUGUGUUUGUGUGUUAUUUAAUCAGUAAUUAGUAAUCUUCCCAUAAUAUCUGUUCAGCUGACCGUCAGUCUGUUUAUCAGCAGUUUCCUUCAUGUUGAGAAGAACUGUGAAAAGCAGAUGAUGUGAGACAGAACACAACUAAAC
Molecule: long non-coding RNA, 1271 nt
Filed under: Sparus aurata (gilthead seabream)
Lineage: Eukaryota; Metazoa; Chordata; Actinopteri; Spariformes; Sparidae
Description: lncRNA (ENSSAUG00010004380.1)
Source: RNAcentral